AGCAGCCGCGGUAAUUCCAGCUCCAAUAGCGUAUAUUAAAGUUGUUGCAGUUAAAAAGCUCGUAGUUGAAUUUCGGGAUCAGUUGGUCGGUCGUGCCUCGGUACGUACUGGUCAAAUUGAUUCCUACCUUCUGACGAACCACGAUGUCAUUAAUUUGGUGUCGCGGGAAAUCAGGACUGUUACUUUGAAAAAGUUAGAGUGUUUAAAGCAGGCUCGCGCUUGAAUACAUUAGCAUGGAAUAAUGAAAUAGGACGUUUGAUUCUAUUUUGUUGGUUUCUAGGAUCGACGUAAUGAUUAAUUGGGAUAGUUGGGGGCAUUAGUAUUCAAUUGUCAGAGGUGAAAUUCUUGGAUUUAUUGAAGACUAACUACUGCGAAAGCAUUUGCCAAGGAUGUUUUCAUUAAUCAAGAACGAAAGUUAGGGGAUCGAAGACGAUCAGAUACCGUCGUAGU
Molecule: ribosomal RNA, 450 nt
Filed under: uncultured Glomus
Lineage: Eukaryota; Fungi; Glomeromycota; Glomeromycetes; Glomerales; Glomeraceae
Description: SSU rRNA
Rfam family: Eukaryotic small subunit ribosomal RNA
Source: RNAcentral